This is a long non-coding RNA of Melitaea cinxia (Glanville fritillary), 137 nucleotides long. RefSeq lists it as uncharacterized. Lineage: Eukaryota; Metazoa; Arthropoda; Insecta; Lepidoptera; Nymphalidae. The record is from RefSeq and is a predicted model, not a curated record. The transcript has 2 exons.
UGAAUAAAAAGUCUGAAGAAAUAUCGUUUCACACGGCCUACCGGAUGAGUCUAAAUCAGUCCUUAACCAAGAUACAAUCUUUGAUACACCUAGAAAAUAUAAACUAAGAGAAAAGUUAAAAAAACGGGAACUUAAUU